CCUUAGAGUUGGAUCCUGGCUCAGAACGAACGCUGGCGGCGUGGUUGAUACAUGCAAGUCGAACGGGAAAGGGGGCUUCGGCCUCCGAGUACAGUGGCGGACGGGUGAGUAACGUAUAAUCAAUCUGCCUUCGAGACAAGGAUAGCCUUCCGAAAGGGAGGGUAAUACUUGAUAAGCCCACGGCGGGGCAUCCCGCUGUGCGAAAAGGAUUGGGAUCUUCGGACCUUUCGCUUGAAGAUGAGAUUAUAACCUAUCAGUUUGUUGGCGGGGUAACGGCCCACCAAGACGACGACGGGUAGCCGGCCUGAGAGGGUGGACGGCCACACUGGAACUGAGACACGGUCCAGACUCCUACGGGAGGCAGCAGUGCUGAAUUAUUCGCCAAUGCGCGAAAGCGUGACGGUGCGACGCCGCGUGCGGGACGAAGGCCUUCGGGUUGUAAACCGCUGUCAGGGAUUAGAAAACCUAUGCAGUUAACAGCUGUGUAGCUGAUCAGUCCCAAAGGAAGCACAGGCUAAUCUCGUGCCAGCAGCCGCGGUAAUACGAGAUGUGCGAGCGUUGUUCGGAAUCACUGGGCAUAAAGGGUGCGUAGGCGGUGUGCCAAGUCGGGUGUGAAAUCCCUUCGCUUAACGGAGGAACUGCACUCGAUACUAGCACGCUAGAGGGUCAAAGGGGCAAGCGGAAUUCUAGGUGUAGCGGUGGAAUGCGUAGAUAUCUGGGAGAACGCCAAGGGCGAAGGCAGCUUGCUGGGUGACAACUGACGCUGAGGCACGAAAGCUAGGGGAGCAAACAGGAUUAGAUACCCUGGUAGUCCUAGCCGUAAACGAUGAGCACUUUGUUCCGGGAAGCCUGAUCUUCUCGGAGCCGUAGCAAAUGUGUUAAGUGCUC
Molecule: ribosomal RNA, 888 nt
Filed under: uncultured bacterium
Lineage: Bacteria
Description: bacterial SSU rRNA
Rfam family: Bacterial small subunit ribosomal RNA
Source: RNAcentral